ACGAACGCUGGCGGCGUGCUUAACACAUGCAGGUCGAACGGAAAGGCCCUGCUUUUGUGGGGUGCUCGAGUGGCGAACGGGUGAGUAACACGUGAGUAACCUGCCCUUGACUUUGGGAUAACUUCAGGAAACUGGGGCUAAUACCGGAUAGGAGCUCCUGCUGCAUGGUGGGGGUUGGAAAGUUUCGGCGGUUGGGGAUGGACUCGCGGCUUAUCAGCUUGUUGGUGGGGUAGUGGCUUACCAAGGCUUUGACGGGUAGCCGGCCUGAGAGGGUGACCGGCCACAUUGGGACGGAGAUACGGCCCAGACUCCUACGGGAGGCAGCAGUGGGGAAUAUUGCACAAUGGGCGGAAGCCUGAUGCAGCAACGCCGCGUGCGGGAUGACGGCCUUCGGGUUGUAAACCGCUUUCGCCUGUGACGAAGCGUGAGUGACGGUAAUGGGUAAAGAAGCACCGGCUAACUACGUG
RNAcentral lists this ribosomal RNA (467 nucleotides) under uncultured bacterium. RNAcentral describes it as "partial 16S ribosomal RNA". It matches the Rfam family "Bacterial small subunit ribosomal RNA", at positions 29 to 507 of the family's 1533-position model. The record is from RNAcentral.